GCAUCCUUAGCUCAGUGGAUAGAGCAGUAGCCUUCUAAGCUAUUGGUCGUAGGUUCAAAUCCUACAGGGUGCG
Molecule: transfer RNA, 73 nt
Filed under: Salmonella phage vB_SenP_UTK0001
Lineage: Duplodnaviria; Heunggongvirae; Uroviricota; Caudoviricetes; Schitoviridae
Description: tRNA-Arg
Rfam family: tRNA
About the family: Transfer RNA (tRNA) molecules are approximately 80 nucleotides in length. Their secondary structure includes four short double-helical elements and three loops (D, anti-codon, and T loops).
Source: RNAcentral